CAGACUCACACACUCCUCAAACCUCACUCACCCUCACCGUCACACGUCGAGUCGUCGACCCCAUCCACCGCCUCCUCUUUGACGUUGCUGUUGCCUCCUCUUCUUGAUUUUAUAUUUGUGCAGUUUGAUUUUAGCUUUUAAUUGGAAGGUCAAUAAUGUCAGCUUCAUAUCCUGAGGAUGUUCAAAGCAGUGAGACAGGAUUUACUAGUGCCACUCCGUCCACUUUUGAAUUAGUCAGAUCUUUGGGACAGUCGGAGUCGAUGUCGCUGUCACAGCCGUAGUCGCAGCCAUAAACGCAGACGCAGACGCAGACGCAGCCACCAUCGCUGCCGCUGUUACCGCCACACAGUGAUAAGAAUAAUGAAGGAACUAGAUCUAAGAGGAGAAGAGGCAAAGAAAAUGUUGUUGAUGAGUUAACUAAUCCUGGCUAGUCUGAGGAACCAGGUACAGGUAACUCUAAAAAACCUGUUAGACCUAGAUCUUGGACUUGGGAGCAUUUUAAAAAAUAUGAAAGUGGUCCUAAACCUGGGGGCUAUAUGUAAGUGGUGUGGAGUAUCUUAUGUGGCUGAUUCACAUAAAAAUGGUAUUAGCAAUCUUAAAAGUCACUUGUUGAGUCAGUGUAGAAAAUUUUUAAAAGAUUCACUUGAUCACACACAAAAAACACUUGUUA
Molecule: long non-coding RNA, 670 nt
Organism: Arachis duranensis
Lineage: Eukaryota; Viridiplantae; Streptophyta; Magnoliopsida; Fabales; Fabaceae
Exons: 3
Source: RefSeq, a predicted model, not a curated record